UACGUAGGUGGCGAGCGUUGUCCGGAAUUACUGGGCGUAAAGGGCGCGUAGGCGGUUUUUUAAGUCAGAUGUGAAAACCCGGGGCUUAACUCUGGGAUUGCAUUUGAAACUGGAAGGCUUGAGUGCAGGAGAGGUAAGUGGAAUUCCUAGUGUAGCGGUGAAAUGCGUAGAUAUUAGGAGGAACACCAGUGGCGAAGGCGACUUACUGGACUGUAACUGACGCUGAGGCGCGAAAGCGUGGGGAGCAAACAGG
Molecule: ribosomal RNA, 253 nt
Filed under: uncultured bacterium
Lineage: Bacteria
Description: partial 16S ribosomal RNA
Rfam family: Bacterial small subunit ribosomal RNA
Source: RNAcentral